RNAcentral lists this ribosomal RNA (468 nucleotides) under uncultured bacterium. RNAcentral describes it as "partial 16S ribosomal RNA". It matches the Rfam family "Bacterial small subunit ribosomal RNA", at positions 28 to 507 of the family's 1533-position model. The record is from RNAcentral.
GACGAACGCUGGCGGCGUGCUUAACACAUGCAAGUCGAACGGAAAGGCCCUGCUUUUGUGGGGUGCUCGAGUUGCGAACGGGUGAGUAACACGUGAGUAACCUGCCCUUGACUUUGGGAUAACUUCAUGAAACUGGGUCUAAUACCGGAUAGGAGCUCCUGCUGCAUGGUGGGGGUUGGAAAGUUUCGGCGGUUGGGGAUGGACUCGCGGCUUAUCAGCUUGUUGGUGGGGUAGUGGCUUACCAAGGCUUUGCAGGGUAGCCGGCCUGAGAGGGUGACCGGCCCCAUUGGGACUGGGCUACGGCACAGACUACUACGGGAGGCAGCAGUGGGGAAUAUUGCACAGUGGGCGGAAGCCUGAUGUAGCAACGCCGCGUGCGGGAUGACGGCAUUCGGGUUGUAAACCGCUUUCGCCUGUGACGAAGCGUGAGUGACGGUACUGGGUAAAGAAGCACCGGCUAACUACGUG